RNAcentral lists this ribosomal RNA (488 nucleotides) under Chrysochroa saundersii tonkinensis. RNAcentral describes it as "partial 16S ribosomal RNA". It matches the Rfam family "Bacterial large subunit ribosomal RNA", at positions 1816 to 2579 of the family's 2925-position model. The record is from RNAcentral. Lineage: Eukaryota; Metazoa; Arthropoda; Insecta; Coleoptera; Buprestidae.
CAUGUCCUUUUGAUUAUUUUUUAAGGUCUAGCCUGCUCAAUGAGGUUUUAAAUAGCCGCGAUAAUCUGAUCGUGCGAAGGUAGCAUAAUCAUUAGUUUCUUAAUUGGGAACUGGAAUGAAGGGUUGGACGAGAUUGGGACUGUCUCAGGUUUAUUUUAUUGGAAUUUUAUUUUUAAGUAAGAAAGCUUAAAUUUUUCUUAAAGACGAGAAGACCCUAUAGAGUUUUAUAAUUUUUAGGUUUAGGUUAAUAUUUGGAAUUAUUGAUUCUUAUUUUUAAUAAUUAUUUAAUUGGGGUGAUUAAAGAAAUAAAUAAACUUCUUUUUUUUUGUUAACACUGAUUAGUGAGUUAGUUGAUCCAUUAUUUAUGAUUACAAGAUAAAAUUACCUUAGGGAUAACAGCGUAAUUUUCUUUGAGAGUUCUUAUCGAAAAGGGAGUUUGCGACCUCGAUGUUGGAUUAAAGUUAAUGUUUGGCGUAGAAGUUAGGCUA